Molecule: ribosomal RNA, 583 nt
Filed under: uncultured Bacillota bacterium
Lineage: Bacteria; Bacillati; Bacillota
Description: bacterial SSU rRNA
Rfam family: Bacterial small subunit ribosomal RNA
Source: RNAcentral
UGACUCCUACGGGAGACAGCAGUUAGGAAUAUUCGUCAAUGGGGGGAACCCUGAACGAGCAAUGCCGCGUGAAUGAUGACGGUCCUCUGGAUUGUAAAAUUCUGUUGUUUGGGAAGAACGGUACAUAUAGGAAAUGAUAUGUGCGUGACGGUACCAUUCAAGAAAGCCACGGCUAACUACGUGCCAGCAGCCGCGGUAAUACGUAGGUGGCGAGCGUUAUCCGGAUUUAUUGGGCGUAAAGCGUCCGCAGCCGGUUUAUUAAGUAUAGAAUAGAAGCCCGAGGCUUAACCUCGGUUCGUUCUAUAAACUGAUAGGCUAGAGUGUGGUAGAGGCAAGUGGAAUUUCUAGUGUAGCGGUAGAGUGCGUAGAUAUUAGAAGGAACACCAGUGGCGAAGGCGACUUGCUGGGCCAUGACUGACGGUCAGGGACGAAAGCGUGGGGAGCGAAUAGGAUUAGAUACCCUAGUAGUCCACGCCGUAAACGAUGAUCACUAAGUGUCGGGCAACCGGUGCUGAAGUUAACACAUUAAGUGGUCCGCCUGAGUAGUACGGUCGCAAGGCUGCAACUCAAAUGAAUUGACGGA